GUGCUUGCUUCAGUUGCACAUAUAUUAAAAUGGGAAAAAUACAGAGAUUAGCAGGCCCCUUCACAAAGAGACAUGUGAAUUUGUGAAGUGUCCCAUAUUUUG
Callithrix jacchus (white-tufted-ear marmoset) is the source of this 102-nucleotide small nuclear RNA. Lineage: Eukaryota; Metazoa; Chordata; Mammalia; Primates; Cebidae. The record is from Ensembl.